AUGUGUGUGUUUCUUCUUGUCUUGUGUGUUCUUAUGAGACACCAUGAAAGAGAAGAGAGAGUUGUGCGAAAGGAGGAAGAAGGACAGCGGCGCUGUGAGGAGGCGGCGCCAACAAUUGGCAUCAGAGCGACCAGGUUCGAGGAGCGGCCGUGGCGUGCGGCGGCGUCCGUGGCACACGGGGUGAGCGCGGCGGACAUGGAGGCAUCGGCUGCGGUGCAUGGCAAGUCCGCGGCGAUGCAGUGUGAUGCCGUGCGUGUGACGAACAGCGGCGGUCGCGGAGGACCUGCGUGGUGGCGCAAAGGCCGCGGCGGCUCAGCGCGACGACCGUGGAGGCGCAGUGGCGCGUGGCAUGGAUAUGUGGCACGUCGGCGGAGGCCGCUGCGGCGCGGUGCUACGUCAUGA
Molecule: ribosomal RNA, 402 nt
Filed under: Triticum aestivum (bread wheat)
Lineage: Eukaryota; Viridiplantae; Streptophyta; Magnoliopsida; Poales; Poaceae
Description: partial small subunit ribosomal RNA
Source: RNAcentral